This 263-nucleotide ribosomal RNA is filed under the name uncultured bacterium. RNAcentral describes it as "partial 16S ribosomal RNA". It matches the Rfam family "Bacterial small subunit ribosomal RNA", at positions 91 to 354 of the family's 1533-position model. The record is from RNAcentral.
UUAAGUGGCGGACGGGUGAGUAACGCGUGGGUAACCUGCCGUAUACAGGGGGAUACCACCUGGAAACAGGUGCUAAUACCGCAUAAGCGCACGGGAGCGCAUGCUCCUGUGUGAAAAACUCCGGUGGUAUGGGAUGGACCCGCGUCUGAUUAGCCAGUUGGCAGGGUAACGGCCUACCAAAGCGACGAUCAGUAGCCGGCCUGAGAGGGUGGACGGCCACAUUGGGACUGAGACACGGCCCAAACUCCUACGGAAGGCAGCAG